GGGGAUGUGGCUCAGUGGCAGAGCAUCUGCUUGGUGUGCAGAAGAUCUCAGGUUCAAUCCAUGGCAUCUCCA
Molecule: non-coding RNA, 72 nt
Organism: Gekko japonicus
Lineage: Eukaryota; Metazoa; Chordata; Lepidosauria; Squamata; Gekkonidae
Source: the annotation of a RefSeq genome assembly